AUCACCUGGAGAUCUUGAGAAAAUGCAGACUCUCGUUCAGCAGAUCUGGAGUGGGGCUGAGAUUCUGCAUUUCUAACAAGUUUCCUGGUGAUAUUAA
This 97-nucleotide microRNA precursor is filed under the name Pongo abelii (Sumatran orangutan). RNAcentral's name for it is "mir-544 microRNA precursor family". It matches the Rfam family "mir-544 microRNA precursor family". Lineage: Eukaryota; Metazoa; Chordata; Mammalia; Primates; Hominidae. The record is from Rfam by way of RNAcentral.